GGUGAACGCUGGCGGUAGGCCUAACACAUGCAAGUCGAACGGCAGCACAGUAAGAGCUUGCUCUUACGGGUGGCGAGUGGCGGACGGGUGAGGAAUACAUCGGAAUCUACUUUUUCGUGGGGGAUAACGUAGGGAAACUUACGCUAAUACCGCAUACGACCUACGGGUGAAAGCAGGGGAUCUUCGGACCUUGCGCGAUUGAAUGAGCCGAUGUCGGAUUGGCUAGUUGGCGGGGUAAAGGCCCACCAAGGCGACGAUCCGUAGCUGGUCUGAGAGGAUGAUCAGCCACACUGGAACUGAGACACGGUCCAGACUCCUACGGGAGGCAGCAGCGGGGAAUAUUGGACAAUGGGCGCAAGCCUGAUCCAGCCAUACCGCGUGGGUGAAGAAGGCCUUCGGGUUGUAAAGCCCUUUUGUUGGGAAAGAAAAGCAGCAGGUUAAUACCCCGCUGUUCUGACGGUACCCAAAGAAUAAGCACCGGCUAACUUCGUG
RNAcentral lists this ribosomal RNA (492 nucleotides) under uncultured bacterium. RNAcentral describes it as "partial 16S ribosomal RNA". It matches the Rfam family "Bacterial small subunit ribosomal RNA", at positions 28 to 507 of the family's 1533-position model. The record is from RNAcentral.